AGACGUCUACAUUAGAUACCCCUGUAGUCCCAGCCGUAAACUAUGCGCGUUAGGUGUAUCGGUGACCACGAGUUACCGAGGUGCCGAAGGGAAACCGUGAAACGUGCCGCCUGGGAAGUACGGUCGCAAGGCUGAAACUUAAAGGAAUUGGCGGGGGAGCACCGCAACGGGAGGAGCGUGCGGUUUAAUUGGAUUCAACACCGUAAAACUCACCAGGGAAGACUGUUACAUGAAGGCCGAGAUGAAGACUCUGCUAGAUUUUCAG
This 265-nucleotide ribosomal RNA is filed under the name uncultured archaeon. RNAcentral describes it as "partial 16S ribosomal RNA". It matches the Rfam family "Archaeal small subunit ribosomal RNA", at positions 714 to 982 of the family's 1478-position model. The record is from RNAcentral.